GAACCUCCAUAUGCCGAGUUCGGCCCUAAAAAGAAAAAAAAAAAAAAAAAGGGAAGAAGAAAUAAGAAUAAGGAAAAAUUAUAGAACACUAUGUACUCAUUACUAUUCUAAACUAUAUAUAUAAACUCAACCCAUCCCCACAACAAUUCCAUAAGGUUUUGCUGUAAUGAUUAUUAACCCCAUUUUACAGACAGGAAACUCAGGGGCAGAGAGGUAAUUUACAAAACCACUCGAGUAAAUAGUGAUACUUUGCUUCAGGAGUUUGCUUCCUUAUACUAUUCAAAGUGAAAACCUACUCUACCUCUAUUCCUGGUAAUAAUCUUUGUGUCAACAUUUCUGAGUCCAUUCAUCUAGAUCUGUGGUUCUCAACCUAGAGAUUUUAUUGCUCUGGGUGGGGCCUGGGCUUCGGGAUUUUUAAAAGUUCCUCAGGUGGUUCUAAUGCGCAGCCAAAGUUGAGAACCUCUAAUCUAGCAAUUGUGCUGGGUGUUUGCUCACAAACAGCCACCUGUGAGCACACGCCUAUAUUUACUGUGUUGUCCUAGGUGUGCACAGGAUGCCUUGUGUGUAUACCUUGGUCCCUACCCAUCCGUGUUUUUCACUGAAUGGCUGGCUGUAAAUUGCAUGGGUUCUCUCAGUGACUGUUAGAGACACUGUGUGAACACAUUCAUUCAAGUGAUAUUUCUUAAGCAUCUACAAGAUUCCAGGCACUGUCCCAGGCAUCUGGGAUACAGCAGUGAACAAGACAGAUGGAAUCCCUUGCCUUUGUGUGUAUAGUCUGAUGGGAUUGACAAAUUUGGUCUUAUGUCCUUCCCUGUGGGUGGCAGGAGUUGGGAACCCCUCAGGAGUUGCGGAGGGGUGAAUGGCUGGCUGGGAGAGCAAAGGAAGGUGAGACUUGUCUGUUGGUGUGGUGGGUCUUCUGCGUGUGCACAUGUGUUUGAGAGAGGGAGACCCAGAGCAUGUUUCCAGCUUGGAAUGAGUGUGGGUGACUCUGGCAUGUGUGUAAAGGUGUGCAUGAUCUGGGCCAUUGAAAAUAUGGACAACAGUGUGUGUCUGUGGAGAAGGGGGUGAUGGGGAGGGCUGUGUGCACAGUAGGCACCAACCCAGAACAGCGCGCGCGCACACACACACACACACACACACACAGCCAGCUGCUUCAAGGAGGAGGCUGGGUUCCAGUCCCAGGGCACAUACUCCCAGGGCCAGGAGAAUUCUGCUUCGGGUAUGUGGAGGAGGCGCAACUGGGCCGGUGCUGGAAACUGCAGAGUGGGAGGAACGGAGGGCAGAGGGAGGGAGCCCCGGGAGCCACAUCCUUGAUCUCUGGUCUGUUUCAGCAGAUCCGGACUUGGUGCUCUGGGUUUCUGUGUGACUCUGGGUCUCCCUCUCUCUAAUAUCUGGAUCUUGGCAUCUCUGUUUCUCUCUUCUGGGUCUUGGGCGCUGAGGCUGAUCACAUGACGCUGGGUCACCACCUCUCCAGCCUACUUGGCUCUCUGUGUCCCCCUCCAAGUCUCCCUCUCUCUGCCUCUAUGUCUGCCUCUGUCUCCGUGUCCUUCCUUGUCCUUGCCAGGUGAGAGGAGGGGGCCCAGUGCUCAGGAAGCAGGUGUCAGCUCACUCAGGCAGCAGGGAGUGAAGUUGAGGAGGGCACAGAGCCAGUAGCCCCUGGACACACAGCCACACUCCAGGACACAUACUCAGGGCGCUCACAGGAACUCACAAUGACACGUAGAGAGAUGGGGUUCUUGAAGACACACACAGGUACACAAUUCAACACACAGCUGUGCCUAAAAAUACACAAGGAUGCCAGACACCGAGGGUCACAGGUAGCUGCUAAACGAAUCCUGCACACACACAAAGGCUCAUCCAGGCACCCCUGGGGCCGUGGGCCCCACACACCCUUAAGAACAUACAGACAAACAGGCACAAAGACAGCAGACACGGUCACACCCCGGAACACGGAUCUACGGAGGCCCCGGCACACUCAGUUACACCGUGGCGGUCACCCUCAGAGCCACAUACAUACAGGAUUAAGGAGGCAAAUGAGCACAGACAGGCAAAUACCCUCAAGGACAACCAGAGACAGAGACACCUCCAGCACACCGAGGGACACGCCCAGGCACAGGCCGAGCCUCCUCAGCAUUUCUCCAGUUCUGGCUUGACCUACGGUGGGGGGAGGCAUCAGUUACCGUCACUCCAGUUCUGCCCUGGUCCAACUGGUUUGGCUGUCCCAGAGGGUGUUGGAGUCCUUGUGGUGAACAGACAGACUAACAAGCAGACAGACAUAUUACUUGGGAACAACAACAAAAAAGCAAAAGCCAGAGGUCAUUGUCAUAUCUUGAAGAACUAGGAGGGAGAAAGAGCUGAAUGGGCCAUGGGAAGGCUAGGCUAGGACUGACUGGCCCACAGGCCAGACACAGCUAGGGGAAGCAGCAGAUGUGGGUUCCAGGCCUGACACUGCUGUGUUACCUUGGAUGGGUUGCUGCCUGUUUCUGGGUCUCUCUUCUGCUUCUAACAAAGAGGGAGUUGCCGUUGGUGAUUCUGAAGCAGUGAGAUUCUCAAAGAUACUGCAGCAGUUGUAUAAACAGGGAAGGGUCCUGGGAGCCUUGGGAGUCUGAUUAGAAUAAUAAGAGCCCCCUCCCCUCCUCGGAGACUCCCCCCCAAGCCUCCUCCCCCGCCUCUAGACCUGGGCUCUACUCUGGAUUGAAGCACCAGAGGCCAGCAGCACCCCCUGCCCCCCAAUACACACAAACACAUGUGCUCCCGCAAACCUCAGCCAGGUCUUUUGCCCUCUCUGGACCUUAGGCGUCCAUGCUUGUGUAUUUAGGGGCUCACAUUUGGGCUCUGUGCCGGUGAGCCAGUCUAUGUGUGCACUGUCUGUCUGUCUGUCCGGCUGCCAGCAGCCUUCAGGCGCCAGGAGGGGAGGCAGCAGUCGGGGGAGGUGGGGGCGGGGAAGGAGGUAGCGUUGACAAGUUCCAAUGUCUGGCUUUCCCUCCUGGAAACCCCAAGCUGGGGCUGGCCCCCCCUCCUCUUCCUGUCUCUCUCGCUCAAGCACGUCCCUUCUAAGAGCCCCUCUCUGCAGACACCCCCAGUGGAACCAAGCCCAGAUUUGCUGCCAAGAAGGCCGACAUUUCUUAGACUUGCCACGUUAAAGGGGCCUGCACAGGCACGCACUCAAAUCCCCCUCCAUGUCCUCCUCCUGUGCACAUUCAGACGACCCGAGACACACAAAGACACGGUUGGACACAGCGGCCACCUGUGCACACAGGAGGUAGCACAUGGAGCGCAUCUGACCUCAGGCUCACAGACAAGUACAAACACAGCCGUGUACCGCCCC
Sus scrofa (pig) is the source of this 3328-nucleotide non-coding RNA. The record is from RefSeq and is a predicted model, not a curated record. NCBI's taxonomy places the organism in Eukaryota, Metazoa, Chordata, Mammalia, Artiodactyla, Suidae.